UUUUCAGUCCUUUGAAAGAGCCUAUCCUGGUUAGCUUCCUCCUCCUUUCUGUUUUGAUGAGUGAGUUCCAGGGCUGCCUUGUGCAUGUAUCCCCUUCUUUCCUCCCUCACACUUGGGUACAAGUGUCAUCCAUCUGUAGAUUCAAUUCUAGUUUUCAGAUCCCUUUCUUCUUUAUAGCUACAGCUUCCUUUAAUUCUUACUUAUACUAUGUGUGUGUGUUUGUGUGUGUGCAUGCAUUUUGAGACGGUCUCACUAUGUAGCUGUAGCUAGCCUGGAGCUUGCUAUGUAGAUCAGCCUUUGUCUCUGAAUGCAGGGAUUAAAAGAAGGGUGCCACCACUAUAUUGUGAUUUCACCCUGUCCCUUCUUGAGUUCUCAGUUUGUACAUACCUUGAACUCUGUGGAGAGUGUUGCUAUAAGCAAAAUGAAAGUGUGUUUUUAUAUUAUAUAGACGAAGAGGUCAUGUUACUGUAAAUUACUGCUUAGUAUUCCAAUUUAUGCAUUUCUGAGUCAAAGUUCAUUCUUUCAAAAACUACCUUAUUAAAUAUUGAUUUUUCCCUUGGUUCAUCUGCAGAAACCCUAAAGAUAGAGGAGGCAUUUUCACUAGCCUUUGUUCUUCACAAAUAAGUCAUUAGAAAUCAAACCAAAUCCAACCAUGAUGCGAGUUCAUGGUCUUUCUAGGUUAGAAUCUGGGAUCUUAUAUAUUCUAAGCAUCUGCUCUGUUUAAGUAUUAAUUGUGGUUAUCCUAGAUUAAGUCCUAUUUGAAGUAUAGAAUUUGCUCACUACUCAUCUUGUUAAAAAAGGGAAUAAGACUUGUCAUGUAUCUUUUGCUACUUAUAUAACAAGAGCAAAUUUAACGAUAGAGCUAAGCUUACCCACAAUUAAAAAAAUACUGACUUUGGUUCUUAGGAAUUAAAGGUGUUAGUAUACUGUCAGAUAGAAGGUGGCUUUCAGAAAAGUCAGCUGAGAGCAAGCAGUCUUAAACCUUGCUAAACUUGAAUGUCACCUGUAGACUCUGACCAACACAGUUAAUGGAACUCUUGAAAUGUCUGUAUUGCAUCUUCUGAACUCUGACUUUGUGCCAAUGUGGGGAUAUACUGUAGUCCUCAAAUCUUAAGACAGUUUCAGGGCUCAUCAACUAAAGGCUCUUGGCAUGAAAAUUAAGUUUUAACCAUGCAUGAAAAAAUAUCUUUUUGAAACUGAAAGUCUUAAAAAGAAAAGAAAACAAAAGCUAUAAAAGCCCUCCCAAAUUCUUGACACAGAUGAUAGAUACUGUGGUACUUUCUGAAUUUGUGGAAGCCUCACAAUCAAAGUGAAAAUGAUUUACAAAGUCCUCUUUGAUUUUUCUGGGUCAUUUAAUUUGAGUUGAUUUCUUCAGAAUGUACUGAAUUUCUUAAGAGUGCGGCACUGAUGAUACAUCCUGGGUGGCUGCUCAGAGUGGAGCUGUGCCACUGCUCUGGAGACUGAACCCAAGGCAUGUGAUUCAGAACUGUGUAGCUGAUACUAGUGGCUUAGGCUUUAUGAUGUUUGUUCACUGGAAAUGGAAGAGAAUGCAAAAACAGCUAAAGAAGGAAAAAUGAAGCAUUUGAAGAGAGCCGUUGAUACAUUUUGGGCCUGCACAUGCACAGAUGAACCUCACUACAUAAGGUGGUGCUCUUGGGGACUUCUACAUGGAAAAGUUUGAAGUUGUACUCCUCUCACAAUGAUUCUCGUGCAUUAUUAUAGAGUUAAAAAUG
Molecule: long non-coding RNA, 1733 nt
Organism: Alexandromys fortis (reed vole)
Lineage: Eukaryota; Metazoa; Chordata; Mammalia; Rodentia; Cricetidae
Exons: 3
Source: RefSeq, a predicted model, not a curated record